AGCAGCUUUGUCAAAUUCAGUGCUCUCUUCUUGGUAGGAUGCACUGGCCAAAAUGGCUGCAACAGUAACUGCAGUUCAUGGGCCCUUGUUUCUCCACUGUAGACCCAGGGGAUAAAUAUGUACUGCAGACAUGU
Molecule: small nucleolar RNA, 134 nt
Organism: Salarias fasciatus (jewelled blenny)
Lineage: Eukaryota; Metazoa; Chordata; Actinopteri; Blenniiformes; Blenniidae
Source: Ensembl